GGUGCAUGGCCGUCGUCAGUUCGUACUGUGAAGCAUCCUGUUAAGUCAGGCAACGAGCGAGACCCACGCCCACAGUUGCCAGCGUACUCUCCGGAGUGACGGGUACACUGUGGGGACCGCCGCUGCUAAAGCGGAGGAAGGAAUGGGCAACGGUAGGUCAGUAUGCCCCGAAUAUCCCGGGCUACACGCGAGCUACAAUGGUUGGUACAAUGGGUAUCUACCCCGAAAGGGGACGGGAAUCUCCUAAAACCAAUCUUAGUUCGGAUUGAGGGCUGCAACUCGCCCUCAUGAAGCUGGAAUCCGUAGUAAUCGCGUUUCAACAGAACGCGGUGAAUACGUCCCUGCUCCUU
Molecule: ribosomal RNA, 350 nt
Filed under: uncultured Methanosaeta sp.
Lineage: Archaea; Methanobacteriati; Methanobacteriota; Methanomicrobia; Methanotrichales; Methanotrichaceae
Description: bacterial SSU rRNA
Rfam family: Archaeal small subunit ribosomal RNA
Source: RNAcentral